RNAcentral lists this ribosomal RNA (770 nucleotides) under Agaricus pseudopratensis. RNAcentral's name for it is "partial large subunit ribosomal RNA". Lineage: Eukaryota; Fungi; Basidiomycota; Agaricomycetes; Agaricales; Agaricaceae. The record is from RNAcentral.
GGGAAAAGCUCAAAUUUAAAAUCUCGGCGGUCUUUGGCCGUCCGAGUUGUAAUCUAGAGAAGUAAUGCCCGUGCUGGACCGUGUAUAAGUCUCCNGGGAUGGGGCGUCAUAGAGGGUGAGAAUCCCGUCUUUGACACGGACUACCAGUGCAUUGUGGUAUGCUCUCAAAGAGUCGAGUUGUUUGGGAAUGCAGCUCAAAAUGGGUGGUAAAUUCCAUCUAAAGCUAAAUAUUGGCGAGAGACCGAUAGCGAACAAGUACCGUGAGGGAAAGAUGAAAAGAACUUUGGAAAGAGAGUUAAACAGUACGUGAAAUUGCUGAAAGGGAAACGCUUGAAGUCAGUCGCGUUGGCCGGGGAUCAGCCUUGCUUUUGCAUGGUGUACUUUCUGGUUGACGGGUCRGCAUCAAUUUUGACCGCUGGAAAAGGGCCUGGGGAAUGUGGCAGCUUCGGCUGUGUUAUAGCCCCUGGUCACAUACGGCGGUUGGGAUUGAGGAACUCAGCACGCCGCAAGGCCGGGUUUCGACCCACGUUCGUGCUUAGGAUGCUGGCAUAAUGGCUUUUAAGCGACCCCGUCUUGAAACACGGACCAAGGAGUCUAACAUGCCUGCGAGUAUUUGGGUGAAAAACCCGAGUGGCGCAAUGAAAAGUGAAAGUUGAGAUCCCUGUCGUGGGGAGCAUCGACGCCCGGACCAGAACUUUUUGGGACGGAUCCGCGGUGGAGCAUGUAUGUUUGGGACCCGAAAGAUGGUGAACUAUGCCCUGAAUAGGGUG